UGUGGUUUAAUUCGAUGAUACGCGAGAACCUUCUGGCUUAAAUGUAGAGUGCUAUUUUUUUAGAGAUAGAAAUUCCUUCGGGGCUUUCUGCAAGGUGCUGCAUGGUUGUCGUCAGCUCGUGCCGUGAGGUGUCGGGUUAAGUCCCAUAACGAGCGCAGCCCUCGCUGUGUGUUAUAUGUGUCACACAGGACUGCUGGUAUUAAGCCGGAGGAAGUGGGACGACGUCAAGUCAGCAUGACCUUUAUAUCCAGGGCUACACACACGCUACAAUGGUCAGUACAAUGGGUUGCCAAGCCGCGAGGCGGAGCCAAUCCUAAAAAGCUGGCCUCAGUUCAGAUUGCAGUCUGAAACUCGACUGCAUGAAGUCGGAGUUGCUAGUAAACGCAGGUCAGCUAUACUGCGUUGAAUACGUUCCCGGGGCUU
Molecule: ribosomal RNA, 423 nt
Filed under: uncultured Anaerolineaceae bacterium
Lineage: Bacteria; Bacillati; Chloroflexota; Anaerolineae; Anaerolineales; Anaerolineaceae
Description: bacterial SSU rRNA
Rfam family: Bacterial small subunit ribosomal RNA
Source: RNAcentral